UGAGAGGAAGGUCCCCCACACUGGAACUGAGACACGGUCCAGACUCCUACGGGAGGCAGCAGUGAGGAAUAUUGGUCAAUGGACGAAAGUCUGAACCAGCCAAGUAGCGGCAGGAUGACGGCCCUCUGGGUUGUAAACUGCUUUUAGUUGGGAAUAAAAAAGAGGACGUGUCCUCUAUUGUAUGUACCUUCAGAAAAAGGACCGGCUAAUUCCGUGCCAGCAGCCGCGGUAAUACGGAAGGUCCA
This 245-nucleotide ribosomal RNA is filed under the name Anophryoides haemophila. Its description in RNAcentral is "partial Bacterial small subunit ribosomal RNA". It matches the Rfam family "Bacterial small subunit ribosomal RNA", at positions 293 to 536 of the family's 1533-position model. Lineage: Eukaryota; Ciliophora; Oligohymenophorea; Philasterida; Glauconematidae. The record is from RNAcentral.